CGCCUUUAAUUGUUAAUUGCAUGCUAUAUGAUGUUGCUCAAAUGAACAUGUUUUCACAAAAUAAUUCCUUCAAGUGGUAUCAGAGCCUAGGUCUAGUAGUUGGUGAAUCCUUUUGGGUUUUGUAGUUCAUAAGUUUGUGAUUUAAAAGUUGUAAUUGUUACAAGCUUUAUUCUUGCUUCUUUGAAUGUAAAUUUUGUUGGAAAAUUUGCCAUCUCAAAUGUUGUAGAUGUUGUUCAUAUGAGCAUGAAUGAAUAUUGGAGCUAAAAUUUGGUGCCAUGCUUUUGGGAAAAUUCGGCCAAAUCCAAAGGGUGGAAUUUUGGGUUCUUGUUUGACUUGUUAAAAGUGUUUUUAAUGUGUUCUUUGGAACCCUAAGUACCUAAGUACCCUAGUUUGGUUAGAUGUUAUUUCCCUUAAGUAAGAAUGGUUUUGGAAUGUUUUUGGGUGAAAAAAAGUUCAUGGAAAAAUUUGGGUUUUUCAUGAAUGUUCUUCAUUGUUCUUGAUGUUCUUGCCAAGAACAAAAAGGUUUGGUGUUUUGUUUCAAAGUUUUGAAUUAUUUCAUAAAGUUUAUGUGAUAUGUUUUUAAAUGAUUUAUUUUGUAUUUAAAGUGUUAGAUAUUUGUAUAAAUGAUGAUUGAAAUAAUUGUGAUUGAAUUAUUUCAAAAACUUAUCUUACAUACACUUGCAUGAUUAAUUUUGACAAAACUCACAAAUCAACACACACACCAACCUUAUCUCUCCCCUAAAACCGGCCACUCCCUCAAAGGGAGUACUUUUGGGGCUUUUAUGCAAUUACAUAAAGUUUUGAUACUUUUGUGUAUUUGCACUUUGGCCCAAAAGUUUACGUUUUUACGUUAAGGUCCAAAAACGCUAAAGGACAAAUUGUUUUGAUCCUUUAAUGAAGUUUUUGCAUUAUUAAAAGUUUGGGUUCUAGUUGUAUUUACAUGAAGUUGUGACUUUUGUGUAUUGUACAAAGUGACCCCAAAAGUUUUUGUUAUUGCAAUAUGGCCCAAAAGUUGAGGUUAAUUGCAUGAUGGCCCAAAUAGGAUGAGAACAAAAUUGUUUUGUCUCUUUAAAUGAGAAUUGGAUUUUCAUUUUGUUUAGCUCCAUUUAAAUCAAUUUUAUGGAUACAAAAAUCAAAUGAAAAUGUUGCAUUCAUUUAAUUAGUUAAAGUGUUAAUUAAUUAAAGGGUGAUUAUGAACCUAAGCCUAAUAUAAUUGAGCUAUGUGAAAGGCCGUUUCAAAUUUGUUUGAACCAUGGGAAUGUGUAGAUUAGAUUUUGGUUGUAAUUUGAUUUGAUCAAAUGUUGUAAAAGGGCUUAAGCUCUUCUUUACUUUAAAGUAAUUUGUUAUAUGCAAAUGUUGUAAUGAGCAUAAGCUCACCUUUACUUUGAAGUACUUCUUUCUUGCUUUAUAUGAUAUGCAUGAAAAUGAAGUAGUUGGGUACAACGCCCAUAAGACAACACGCCUUAAUGUGAUUAAACGCGUAACUAAAAUCAAUCACCAUUCCUAGACCGAGAUUCAACACAAGGCUCGUGUUGAAUCUAAACAAAGGUUCAUAAUCAUCCUUAGGCCCUAAGGCAACUAUAUAUUGUCCAUCAAAUGAAUGCAAAGUUUAUGUUAGUAGUAUCAUAUACUCUUGCUUUAAAAAUCGUUUUAAAAGCAUAGUGGGAGUAUUAUGUACAACUAAAACAAUGAGAUGGACCAAUAGUUGUAAUAGGACCAAAAUAGUUUUAAUAGAGAUUAAAAUGUAUGUUUAUAUGUGAUGAGACCUAAAACCCUCAACCAAACCAAUAUUAAGUUGAUAAGCGGAGAGUGCUUAGAACACUCUUUCGUGGCCUUCCACCGUGGUGGGCUUCAAUCGUUUGUGACUCGUACAAUGUAUUCGUCCAGUUCUGGGGUUGCAAAGUAUGUGCUUACAUUCAGGAGAAGCCUAUACACAUAUGAUGAAGUGAAAGGUAGGCAACGAGUGUGGCCAAUAUGGAGUUCUUCUGAGGCCAUUCUUGAACCCCUACUUGAACUAGCAUGGUGGGAAUGACUUAACUAAGUGCAAUGGUGCCAAUAUGGAGUUCUUCUGAGGCAUCAUUCUCUAGAGGCCAAACGAGAUGGGUAUUUGCAUUAGUUGCAAAUGAGUAAGCGUACUCUCUCAUUAUUAUUGUUGCUAGCCAAUAUGGAGUUCUUCUGAGGUGGGCUUGGUAAUAGUGAGCCUCCCAUAACCUACUAGGAGUUUCAUCCAAAACUCUCGAAUUCCAAUGAGGGUUAUGGAAUUUGCCAAAAAUAGUGGGUGGUGCUAUUUUGAUUUAAAGACCCGAAUCAAAUGGCUUAAAAUCAAUCAAUCUAUAUUCGUUAUGUAUUUGUUUACCAAUAUAUUUGCAAACGCUAUCCAACACUUGACAAAACCGAAUGUUUUAGUUUCCGGACUUGGUACCAUAAUCCCAAAGAAUGUCUAAAUGGAUUGUAUAUGUAUCUAAGUAGUCUCAUCCUCACAAUCUUCCUAAUGAUAAUGUAUCAUUGGAAGAACAUGUUAGAAAGGUCUAUCAUGAAGAGGACAACACUUUUAAAUGUCAUAAUUCUUCAAUUACAAUUUGUUGUAUGAAGAAAUAGGAGUUGCUUUGAACAACCCUUAGUCAAUGCAAACACUAGUGCUUGUUUCUUUGUUAAAUGAACAAAGAACUUGAGAAGAAAGCACAAAGGCAUGGACACUUAAUGUGCCAUGAUUCUUCAUUUACAAAUGUUGUAUGAAGAAAUGAGAGUUGCCUUGUACAACUCUUGAAGGUUUGUAAUUAUGUUUAGAACAUAAUGGUUGGUUGACAAAAAUAGUCCAUUAACAUGGACUUAUGAUGAUUUUGAAUCAUUGAGUGUUGAAGUGAUAAACCACUUAACGAGACGGAAACUAGGCAAGGACUUCACCUUUGUUUCCCUAUCCUAAUCGUUCACUAAGUUUAUUGUAAACUAUGUAGUGAAAAAUAACCACAUACUCUCCAAAAUGUUUGAUGUGUAUAACACAAUUGAAAAAGGUUUCAAGAGAGAUAGUGGGAGUUUAGGGACCAUGACUAUUGUAGUCAAAGGAGAAGUCGAAUAAAGAAGAUAAAUAACUCCAAGGGAACAAACUUUCUUUAUGAAAGGAUGGAUAUUGGAAGGGGUAUUUGCAAGAAAUGUCUUGCAAGUGUCAAGGACACACCUUUCGAAGGUGUCGUAAAUUGUUCUUGAAUAGUUCAAAACAGUUGGUUCUUCUACUUGAAUGCUUGAUUCCGUAUUAGUAACUAUGUUUUACAAUCGUUGUAAAAGUGUGGCUAAUAAGAAGUAGAAGAUUAAUGAGAGAAGAGAAAGUACUUCACAUUCGGAAAGUGAAUAAAAUAUAGAUUUCUGCGAAAGCAGAUGGUACUUACUUCCUCAUAUGAACUACCAAAGAAAUUGGAAAAACAUAGAUUGUCUUUAUAUUCCAAUUUUAAGGAACUAAAUUCCGUCACUAUGUGAAAUGGAUAAAUGUUUUGUUUGACAAAACAAUGUUCUUUAUUAAUCAAUAAUUGGAUUAUGGUAAUCUAAUUAAUUAUCUCUAUAGUAGAGAUAAUAUGGUAGUGUUAACUGUUUAGAAAAUAAUGAUGCUUAAAACCCAAAAGGUUGCAAGGUAGUGACUAAUCCCAACUAAAGUUGUGAUACCUCUAAAACAUAAAUUAUGAGUUGGUCAUAGAUGGACGCUUUGGAUCGUUAGAUCCGGAUCCAAUACCUUCUUGUUAAAAUUGCAUGGAGGCGAAAUGUUCGAAUCUUUAUUCUUUUGGAAAGAAGAAAGAAUCACAAAGUUGUUGAGGUUAAUUCACUUAGAUGUUAGUGGUACUUGUCCACAAACAUAAUACUACUCAUGUUGAAUAAACAUUCACCGAAGAUCACUCUCGGUUGGACUAUAGUUUAUUUUGAAUAAACACAAGUCCGAAUACUUUGCAAAAUGUUUCAAAGAAUUCAAGAAAUGUAAGUUGAUGAGUAAGACAUCUAAAGUAUUUACCUCCUUAGAUUUGAUCCAAGGAAAGGUAACACUUUAGAUGAGUUUCCUUGAAAGAUAUCAAGGAAAAUAGCAUCAUAAGAUAAUGUAUUUCUCCAUUAGGAGAAGAACGAACUCGAAUAAGAUUUAGUUCGUUAAAUAUUAUCUAUUACCCAUAUAUAGGAUAUAUACUUCUAAAACAAUAUGAUUGUCAAUGAGAAGAUCUUCCAAUAUUUUCAUGACUCCAUAAGAUGUAGUUGGAAAGAAAGACAAAUCUUAAGCAUGUUAAAAAUUUGGGGUUGUGUGCUAACAAGCAAUAUUUGUUUGAUAACAAUCUUGUGGGAUAUCCUUAAAUUAACUUUUGGAUAUCGCUUCUAUAAACCAACUAACAAAUGUUGUUUUGUUGGGUAGUUCAUUGUAAUUCUACAAUGUGAUUUGCCUAAAAGCAAAUGAACGAGAGAUAGAACUCAAAGAAUGGGUUCUUUGAGAGACAAGAAAGUAAUCAACAAAUAUAACAACCUAGUUCCUAUACCUCAAGCUCCAAGGUAGUCGAUAAGGAUUUAUAAACCGUCUCAGUUGAAUGGUUUUGAACUUUAUGACUAUGUCAUAGAGUUGCACCUCUUAAUUCGAAAGAAGUAAGAAUGAAAAUCCUUAUGACUACACUGAGUGCAUAUACGAUAUAUACUCAAGGAAAUGGUAAAGUAACAUUUGACUCGAAAUAAUGAAACCUUCAUAGCUAAUUGGUAGCUUAAGGUGACUACAAUCAAAGAGAAUGGGUGACUUUGAAGAAACCAUCUUUGAGAUAGUCUUGGUUUCAAUUAAUUCGAAGAUUGCUAGCUACAACUAAAUGGUGAUUCAAUGUUUGGACAUUAUUAAGAUAGUCUUGAUAAUAUAUGUCUAAAACUAUGAAUCACAAGACAUGUAAGUUGUAGAGAUCCAUCCAUCAUGGAUCUUAGCAAGUUAGUGGGAGCUAUUUGCAUUUU
This 4953-nucleotide long non-coding RNA is filed under the name Malus domestica (apple). Its description in RNAcentral is "long non-coding RNA (MDOM_LNC020724)". Lineage: Eukaryota; Viridiplantae; Streptophyta; Magnoliopsida; Rosales; Rosaceae. The record is from RNAcentral.